This 460-nucleotide ribosomal RNA is filed under the name uncultured bacterium. Its description in RNAcentral is "partial 16S ribosomal RNA". It matches the Rfam family "Bacterial small subunit ribosomal RNA", at positions 338 to 795 of the family's 1533-position model. The record is from RNAcentral.
CCUACGGGAGGCAGCAGUGAGGAAUAUUGGUCAAUGGACGAGAGUCUGAACCAGCCAAGUAGCGUGAAGGAUGACUGCCCUAUGGGUUGUAAACUUCUUUUAUAAAGGAAUAAAACGAGGCACGUGUGCCCUUUUGCAUGUACUUUAUGAAUAAGGAUCGGCUAACUCCGUGCCAGCAGCCGCGGUAAUACGGAGGAUCCGAGCGUUAUCCGGAUUUAUUGGGUUUAAAGGGUGCGUAGAUGGGUUGUUAAGUCAGUUGUGAAAGUUUGCGGCUCAACCGUAAAAUUGCAAUUGAUACUGGCAGUCUUGAGUACAGUUGAGGUAGGCGGAAUGCGUGGUGUAGCGGUGAAAUGCUUAGAUAUCACGAAGAACCCCGAUUGCGAAGGCAGCUUACUAAACUGUGACUGACAUUGAUGCUCGAAAGUGUGGGUAUCAAACAGGAUUAGAUACCCCAGUAGUC